Molecule: ribosomal RNA, 300 nt
Filed under: Ligidium werneri
Lineage: Eukaryota; Metazoa; Arthropoda; Malacostraca; Isopoda; Ligiidae
Description: partial 12S ribosomal RNA
Source: RNAcentral
UUAGAUACCCUAUUAUUCCUAAACCAAACAAAACCUAAAGAAGUACUUGCUACAUUCAUCAAACCUAAAGGAUUUGGCGGUGUUUUAUCUAACCAGAGGAACCCGUUCUAUAAACGUCAAAACGCGAAACAUCUUACCCAAAGAAAGCCCAUAUACCGUCAUUUAAAUCACACCUAAAAGUAAUAUUUCCUCAGGAGACUCAUAAAUUAGACAAGGUGUGGCAUCUUUAGGAAAGAAUAGGUUACAUUUUAAAAACAAGUGGACUCUUUCUGAAAAAUAGAAGAAAAAGGAUUUGUUAGU